AACGCACCUUGCGCCCUUUGGUAUUCCGAAGGGCAUGCCUGUUUGAGUGUCAUUAAAUUAUCAACCUUGCUCGCUUUUACCGGCUUGAGUUAGGCUUGGAUGUGAGGGCUUUGCUGGCUUCCUUCAGUGGAUGGUCUGCUCCCUUUAAAUGCAUUAGUGGGAUCUCUUGUGGACCGUCACUUGGUUGUGAUAAUUAUCUACGCCAACGCCUCAGGCCUCUUCAGCGGCGCUGCUUACAGCCGUCCCGACGGACAAUUUUAAAGCUUUGGCCUCGAAUCAGGUAGGACUACCCGCUGAACUUAA
This 303-nucleotide ribosomal RNA is filed under the name uncultured fungus. RNAcentral describes it as "eukaryotic LSU rRNA". The stretch from base 1 to 52 matches the Rfam family "5.8S ribosomal RNA", at positions 103 to 154 of the family's 154-position model. Lineage: Eukaryota; Fungi. The record is from RNAcentral.